This 400-nucleotide ribosomal RNA is filed under the name uncultured bacterium. RNAcentral's name for it is "bacterial SSU rRNA". It matches the Rfam family "Bacterial small subunit ribosomal RNA", at positions 355 to 747 of the family's 1533-position model. The record is from RNAcentral.
UGGGGAAUAUUGGACAAUGGGGGCAACCCUGAUCCAGCAACGCCGCGUGAAUGAAGAAGGUCUUAGGAUUGUAAAGUUCUUUUGCCUGGGAGCAAAUAUUUUUAGUUAAAAGCUGAGAGUUAUGAGAGUACCAGGAGAAUAAGCACCGGCUAACUACGUGCCAGCAGCCGCGGUAAUACGUAGGGUGCGAGCGUUAAUCGGAAUUACUGGGCGUAAAGAGUGCGUAGGCGGAUAUAUAAGUUAGAUGUGAAAUACCUGAGCUUAACUUGGGAGGUGCAUUUAAGACUGUAUGUCUAGAGUUUGUCAGAGGGGGGUAGAAUUCCAAGUGUAGCAGUGAAAUGCGUAGAGAUUUGGAGGAAUACCGAUGGCGUAGGCAGCCCCCUGGGAUAAGACUGACGCU